Molecule: ribosomal RNA, 760 nt
Filed under: Haemophilus influenzae
Lineage: Bacteria; Pseudomonadati; Pseudomonadota; Gammaproteobacteria; Pasteurellales; Pasteurellaceae
Description: bacterial LSU rRNA
Rfam family: Bacterial large subunit ribosomal RNA
Source: RNAcentral
GUUGUAUAGUUAAGUGACUAAGCGUACAAGGUGGAUGCCUUGGCAAUCAGAGGCGAAGAAGGACGUGCUAAUCUGCGAAAAGCUUGGAUGAGUCGAUAAGAGGCGUUUAAUCCAAGAUAUCCGAAUGGGGAAACCCAGUAGAUGAAGAAUCUACUAUCAACAAGUGAAUUCAUAGCUUGUUGAGGCAAACCGGGAGAACUGAAACAUCUAAGUACCCCGAGGAAAAGAAAUCAACCGAGAUUUCGUCAGUAGCGGCGAGCGAAAGCGAAAGAGCCAGUAAGUGAUAGCAGUAUAGUGAGGAGAAUGUGUUGGGAAACACAAUCAAAGAGGGUGAUAAUCCCGUAUCUAAAAACCAUAUUGUGGUACUAAGCUAACGAGAAGUAGGGCGGGACACGUGAUAUCCUGUUUGAAGAAGGGGGGACCAUCCUCCAAGGCUAAAUACUCCUGAUUGACCGAUAGUGAACCAGUACUGUGAAGGAAAGGCGAAAAGAACCCCGGUGAGGGGAGUGAAAUAGAACCUGAAACCUUGUACGUACAAGCAGUGGGAGCCCCAUCACUUAAUCCGAUUGGAAGGUGAUGAAAAGCAACCGCACUUAAACAAUGGUAAGAGGAGCGAAGCGAGUCAAACCACCCAAAAGAAGCAGUGGGAUUAAGUGAUGGGGUGACUGCGUACCUUUUGUAUAAUGGGUCAGCGACUUAUAUUUUGUAGCGAGGUUAACUGAAUAAGGGAGCCGAAGGGAAACCGAGUCUUAACUGGGCG